GAUGAACGCUGGCGGCGUGCCUAAUACAUGCAAGUCGAGCGAACGGACGAGAAGCUUGCUUCUCUGAUGUUAGCGGCGGACGGGUGAGUAACACGUGGAUAACCUACCUAUAAGACUGGGAUAACUUCGGGAAACCGGAGCUAAUACCGGAUGAUAUUUUGAACCGCAUGGUUCAAAAGUGAAAGACGGUCUUGCUGUCACUUAUAGAUGGAUCCGCGCUGCAUUAGCUAGUUGGUAAGGUAACGGCUUACCAAGGCAACGAUGCAUAGCCGACCUGAGAGGGUGAUCGGCCACACUGGAACUGAGACACGGUCCAGACUCCUACGGGAGGCAGCAGUAGGGAAUCUUCCGCAAUGGGCGAAAGCCUGACGGAGCAACGCCGCGUGAGUGAUGAAGGUCUUCGGAUCGUAAAACUCUGUUAUUAGGGAAGAACAUAUGUGUAAGUAACUGUGCACAUCUUGACGGUACCUAAUCAGAAAGCCACGGCUAACUACGUGCCAGCAGCCGCGGUAAUACGUAGGUGGCAAGCGUUAUCCGGAAUUAUUGGGCGUAAAGCGCGCGUAGGCGGUUUUUUAAGUCUGAUGUGAAAGCCCACGGCUCAACCGUGGAGGGUCAUUGGAAACUGGAAAACUUGAGUGCAGAAGAGGAAAGUGGAAUUCCAUGUGUAGCGGUGAAAUGCGCAGAGAUAUGGAGGAACACCAGUGGCGAAGGCGACUUUCUGGUCUGUAACUGACGCUGAUGUGCGAAAGCGUGGGGAUCAAACAGGAUUAGAUACCCUGGUAGUCCACGCCGUAAACGAUGAGUGCUAAGUGUUAGGGGGUUUCCGCCCCUUAGUGCUGCAGCUAACGCAUUAAGCACUCCGCCUGGGGAGUACGACCGCAAGGUUGAAACUCAAAGGAAUUGACGGGGACCCGCACAAGCGGUGGAGCAUGUGGUUUAAUUCGAAGCAACGCGAAGAACCUUACCAAAUCUUGACAUCCUUUGACAACUCUAGAGAUAGAGCUUUCCCCUUCGGGGGACAAAGUGACAGGUGGUGCAUGGUUGUCGUCAGCUCGUGUCGUGAGAUGUUGGGUUAAGUCCCGCAACGAGCGCAACCCUUAAGCUUAGUUGCCAUCAUUAAGUUGGGCACUCUAAGUUGACUGCCGGUGACAAACCGGAGGAAGGUGGGGAUGACGUCAAAUCAUCAUGCCCCUUAUGAUUUGGGCUACACACGUGCUACAAUGGACAAUACAAAGGGCAGCGAAACCGUGAGGUCAAGCAAAUCCCAUAAAGUUGUUCUCAGUUCGGAUUGUAGUCUGCAACUCGACUACAUGAAGCUGGAAUCGCUAGUAAUCGUAGAUCAGCAUGCUACGGUGAAUACGUUCCCGGGUCU
RNAcentral lists this ribosomal RNA (1372 nucleotides) under uncultured bacterium. Its description in RNAcentral is "bacterial SSU rRNA". It matches the Rfam family "Bacterial small subunit ribosomal RNA", at positions 28 to 1381 of the family's 1533-position model. The record is from RNAcentral.